CUAUUGCCAUAGGAUAAUGCCCCGAGUAAGUCUCAGGUCAGGAGGAGCACAACGUACGUUGGAGAUGGGAUCGAGCGGCCUGGCUCAACUCUCAUGUUUGUCCAUCCAUGAUCAGUAGACGAUUGUCCCAAGACAUAGGGGUGAGGAGAUCUAGAAGCUCUCGAAUACAGGAGGAGACUGAAUAUCGAGUCAAGGUGAAGAUUAUUAGGAUUUGAUGUCUCAAGAUUUAGUCCAUAUUAAGCCCAC
RNAcentral lists this long non-coding RNA (246 nucleotides) under Elaeis guineensis (African oil palm). RNAcentral describes it as "long non-coding RNA (EGUI_LNC001779)". Lineage: Eukaryota; Viridiplantae; Streptophyta; Magnoliopsida; Arecales; Arecaceae. The record is from RNAcentral.